AUAAGAAAGCUUUGACAAUGGCUCAAUUCAACUGCCACCAUAUCAUAUUUCAUAUCCCUUGCUUUCAUAUGGGGUUGCACAGUUCAGUAGUCUUUAGGCUUUAUAUAUGCCAUAAAGUUUCAACUCUCUUCUUUUUUAUGCUUUCAUAUCCCUUGUUUUCAUAUGGGGUUGCACAGUUCAGUAGUCUUUAGGCUUUAUAUAUGCCAUAAAGUUUCAGCUCUCUUCCUUUUUAUGCUCUCCACUUAACAAUGUCUAUAGGUCUCUUACUGUUUCAAUUUCUUUCUUUGCAAGUAAAGGAAAUCCGAUCCAGUAAAAAAGCUUCUCUCGAAUGGUAUGCCAUCACCGUUCCAAAAAUUUAAAGCAUUUAACCUCAGUUUGACUGCAUUGGAGGUGCAAGUUUCGGACACGGAAAAGGAAGAAAAUCACACACUGGUUUAUCUUUUUGUUUCACCCGAGGUACAUCCCAUGUGAGGCAAAAAACUGAAGAUUUGGGUGGCCUAGAGACAUUGUAUUUAGGGAGCCUGAUUCGAGAGCUGGCAGCUGGGGUUCAGUAUGUAUUUAGGUGCAAGCUCAGUCAUAAAUCCUGAACUCUGGAGCAUGGUUGAUGGUCUGUAAUAAAUGUGGGAUCGUGGUUAAUGACAAUUGAUCUGACUGACAGUCUUCACGUGAAAUUGAAGACUGAACCUAGGAGAAAAAUAAAAGGGAUAUUUACUCAUCAGUUCCUAGAUACUAUUUUUUUUAAAUUAAUUCAUUUAAGUUUUUAUUUGUAUUCCAGUAAUUGCAACUAUUGUUUGUGGUGUUUUGUAUUUAAGUUUGAUUACCAAAUUAAACUUCUUAAGAAAUUGUAUUUUAAAAUAAGAUCAUGAUGAAAUGAAGUUAAUUAAUUUUUUAAAGACAAAAUUUCAGAUGUUUUGGGGGUGUCGACUAUCAAAAUUGAAUAAAAUGUAAAGUAAAAAUAGGAGAAGAGAUGUUGGUUUGAUGACAUCCGUAGAACAUUAAACAAUGUAAUUGGAAUACACUGGUUUUAAACAUUAAAAAAUAAAUCUAAAUAGGCUUAAAAACAAUGUUAUAUAAAUUUGUCCUUUUAAGGUUAAUUUUCUUCUUUUCAGAUGAAUAAAAGUCAGUAAUAAUCUCAAUCUUCUCGCGCAUUCAUGAUCAAGGCUCCAUCAUAUACUUCUUGUAAAAUUGGAAAUCAACUAUUUUAUCCCCAUCUCCAUUAUGGAUGUUUUUCACUAUUAAUCUAUCUAAAGAAAAAGAUAUAAAUUAAAAUUAAAAAAAAAACCUAAAAUCUUUUUUAGGAAUCCGCCACUGCCAACACUUUAAAUUCACCUCUGAAUAAAAUGAAUUAUUAAUAUUAAAUUAUAUGACACCAAUGAUGUGGUGAUAGAAAAUUUUAUUUAAAAUCAAGCAUCAAAGGUUAAAAUUGAAUUCAAAUAAUCUAUUUUUUUACUCCAAUAAUUAAAAUAAUUAAAUUAAAUAUCAAAAUAGAUCACCUUACAAAUUAAUUACCGAAAUGGAUCGUUAAUAAAAUUUUUCAAUACCGCUUGACUAAAAUAUAAUUAGUGAUUAUUUUUAUUAUGUUACAUAAUAGUUAUUUUAGUUUUAAGUAGUAAAAUGUGUGAUUUUAAAUUAGGUUGUUGUGGGUUCAAUUUUCACAUAUAACACUUUAUUUUUUAUUUUUGCUUCAAAAGGUAAAUUCUACUUUAUUAUUAUUUGACAAAAUAUUAUUAUUUGUGGAAAUCAAACCCUCGACCAUAAUUUUAUUGUAGCAUAAUACUUUACUAUAACAACUGUUUUAUAAUAUGAUAAAUAAAAUAAUUAAUUAUAUUGUAAUAUGGUGCCGUCAAUAUGUCAGGCGGCACCAAUAUUUUUUUUUUAAAAUCCAUGUGGUAUCGUCAACUAGUCAAACAGUAUUAAAAAAUAUUAUAGCAAAAUUUGUAGGGUGUGACCCAUUUUGAUAUUUAAUUUUUUUUAAAAAUAUUAUUAAAGUGCCACAAUUUUUAUUUACUAAAUAAAAAAGAAAGAAAGUAUAGCCACCUCCAAUUUUUUAUUUAAGUGUGAUGGCACCUUUAUUUUUUUUAAAACAAAAUUUAAAAUCAAUUAAAAUGUAUAACCAACAUUGACAAACACACAUGAUAAAUACACUAAAUAAUAAUCUAAUAAUUAUUUUAAAAAGUAAUACUUAUGCCUAUUGUUUCUAAAAAAUUAAGAAAAAAUAUAAAUAUUUUUAUUUUAAAGAUAUGUUCACUAAAAUUACUUAAAUAGUAAAAAUAUUAUAUUCUGAAAUUUUUGUUUGUUUUCUUUUUCAAAAUUCUGAGCACUUUAAUGACAUGAAAAUGACUCCCACUUCAAUCUUUCAUUUUUGGUAACAGAAAAGACUGCGGGCAGCGUUUGGUAAGGGCCAAAACUUAAAAGUAGUAUAAAAGAAAUUCACUAUUUUAAAAAAAAUGGUCUGUGAGAGAGCUGACAUAUUUGGGAGGGUUAAAAUAUGUUAUAAACCCUUUUCCCUAUAUUAGAAUCGAGUCCAACGAACGUUGGUUACCUCUUGAGCCAACUAAUAACUUCGCCAAAAACAAAUCAGACCUACCAUAAAAACAAUUGCCUAAUCAUAGAUUAGCACAAAGAAUGUCAUACUUGUGCCUUCACACAUACAUGCAUGCGUUAUGAUGUCUACGUCCAAGGCUAUUACAAGCUAAUCUUUUAGGUUGAUGCCUAAACCAUGAAACAUACAUGCAUGUGCUUUGUUUUGCUGUUGGAUGAACCAACAGCAUAUUUACGGUAGACCCAUAACCCACUUUCAUGUUCUAAAUGCAAACAAACAAAUGCAUUUAAAGCUACCAUCCAAAACAAUUCUUAUAUUAUCAUAUCAAGGGGUGUAGCCCAAGUUUAGCCAUGGCGUACAUCAACCACAUCAUAAUUCAAAGGAACCUAUAAAUAUAUCCCUAUUUCCUGGUAUCAUCCAAAUGUAAAUAGUGUAUAAUAAGAAAGCUUUGACAAUGGCUCAAUUCAAUUGCCACCAUAUCAUAUUUCAUAUCCUUUGCUUUCAUAUGGGGUUGCACAGUUCAGUCUUUAGGCUUUAUCUAUGCCAUAAAGUUUCAACUCUCUUCUUUUUUAUGCUCUCCACUUAACAAUGUCUAUAGGUCUCUUAACUGUUUCAAUUUCUUUCUUUGCAAGUAAAGGAAAUCCGAUCCAGUAAAAAAGCUUCUCUCGAAUGGUAUGCCAUCACCGUACCAAAAAUUUAAAGCAUUUAACCUCAGUUUGACUGCAUUGGAGGUGCAAGUUUCAGACACGGAAAAGGAAGAAAAUCACACACUGGUUUAUCUUUUUGUUUCACCCGAG
This 3339-nucleotide long non-coding RNA is filed under the name Gossypium barbadense (sea-island cotton). RNAcentral's name for it is "long non-coding RNA (GBAR_LNC009822)". The stretch from base 1591 to 1664 matches the Rfam family "tRNA". Lineage: Eukaryota; Viridiplantae; Streptophyta; Magnoliopsida; Malvales; Malvaceae. The record is from RNAcentral.